RNAcentral lists this long non-coding RNA (629 nucleotides) under Mus musculus (house mouse). Its description in RNAcentral is "predicted gene, 61655". Lineage: Eukaryota; Metazoa; Chordata; Mammalia; Rodentia; Muridae. The record is from RNAcentral.
UGUCUUCGCUGAUUGGUGAGACUUCGAGCAGUAGUUAGGAUGCUGCGUGGAAGCCGAAGCUGCACUUCCCAGGUGACUCCUCCGGCCAGCCGAAGCUGCACUUCCCAGGUGACUCCUCUGGCCAGCCAGGCCCCUCAGAUGAGGGCUGCUCCCCUAAGAGCACCUGCAGCUCAGCCUCCAGCAGCAGCUGCACCAUCUGCAGUUGGCUCACCUGCCGCUGCGCCCCAGAUGGCCCAGAUGGCUACCACCGCAGCCGGUGUGGCUGUGGGCUCUGCAGUGGGGCACACCCUGGGUCACACCAUCACUGGAGGCUUCAGCGGAGGUGGUAGUGCUGAGCCCGCAAAGCCCGACAUCACUUACCAGGAGCCUCAGGGAGCCCAGCUGCAGAACCAGCAGUCUUUUGGACCUUGCUCUCUAGAGAUCAAGCAGUUUCUGGAGUGUGCUCAGAACCAGAGCGAUGUCAAGCUCUGUGAGGGCUUCAAAGAGGUGCUGCGGCAGUGCAGGAUUGCAAAUGGUUUAAUCUAAUCAAGAAAUUCAAGCUGAAGAGAUGUAACAUUGGUUCUGUAUAAUUGAUAGUACAAGUGUGGACCCUUAUAUUUCUAACAGUUCCGUUGCUUUAGAAUGGCCAU